This 490-nucleotide ribosomal RNA is filed under the name uncultured bacterium. Its description in RNAcentral is "partial 16S ribosomal RNA". It matches the Rfam family "Bacterial small subunit ribosomal RNA", at positions 30 to 507 of the family's 1533-position model. The record is from RNAcentral.
AUUGAACGCUGGCGGCAGGCCUAACACAUGCAAGUCGAACGGUAACAGGAAGCAGCUUGCUGCUUCGCUGACGAGUGGCGGACGUGUGAGUAAUGUCUGGGAAACUUCCUGAUGGAGGGGGAUAACUACUGGAAACGGUAGCUAAUACCGCAUAACGUCGCAAGACCAAAGAGGGGGACCUUAGGGCCUCUUGCCAUCGGAUGUGCCCAGAUGGGAUUAGCUAGUAGGUGGGGUAACGGCUCACCUAGGCGACGAUCCCUAGCUGGUCUGAGAGGAUGACCAGCCACACUGGAACUGAGACACGGUCCAGACUCCUACGGGAGGCAGCAGUGGGGAAUAUUGCACAAUGGGCGCAAGCCUGAUGCAGCCAUGCCGCGUGUAUGAAGAAGGCCUUCGGGUUGUAAAGUACUUUCAGCGGGGAGGAAGGGAGUAAAGUUAAUACCUUUGCUCAUUGACGUUACCCGCAGAAGAAGCACCGGCUAACUCCGUG